GAUGAACGCUAGCUACAGGCCUAACACAUGCAAGUCGAGGGGAAACGAUAGAGAUAGCUUGCUUUUUCUAGGCGUCGAGCGGAGCCAGGGCGAGUAACGCGUAUGCAACCUGGCCACCACUUGGGGAUACCCACGCGAAAGUAAGACUAAUACUAAAUGACGUCCAUAGGAUACAUCUGACAUGGAUUCAAGAUUUAUCGGUGAUGGAUUGGGAUGAGUCUGAUUAGUUUGUUGGCGGGGUAACGGCCCACCAAGGCGACGAUCAGUAGGGGUGCUGAGAGGAAGGUCCCCCACAUUGGAACUGAGACACGGUCCAAACUCGUACGGGAGGGAGCAGUGAGUAAUAUUAGUCAAUGGGCGAGAGCCUGAACCAGCCAAGUAGCGUGCAGGAUGACUGCCCUAUGGGUUGUAAACUGCUUUUAUAAGGGAAUAAAGUGUUUCUCGUGAGACGUUUUGCAGGUACCUUAUGAAUAAGGACCGGCUAAUUCCGUGCCAGCCGCCGCGGUAA
This 508-nucleotide ribosomal RNA is filed under the name uncultured bacterium. RNAcentral describes it as "partial 16S ribosomal RNA". It matches the Rfam family "Bacterial small subunit ribosomal RNA", at positions 28 to 523 of the family's 1533-position model. The record is from RNAcentral.